GUUAUUGUUAAGAUCAAAGAACAUUUACAAAUCGUUCUAAAAAGUAUUAAAAUUGUAUCUUCUUGAUAUGUCUGAUUAAUUCUUGGUUAAUGUUUAUUGCGAUCCUUAUUCACAAAUAUACUCACUGAUCAGGGAAUUGUUGACAUCUGAUGAGGCCACAGCAAAUAGCAGGAUAAACUUAAUUAGAAAAAGACCCUUCACUUGUGUUUAAACUCUCCAUUACCAAAUUCGUAAAUAACCCUUCAGUUAAUAUGACUGGGGAUAUUUUGUCAGUAUAUUAAAC
Molecule: non-coding RNA, 283 nt
Organism: Pelobates cultripes (western spadefoot toad)
Lineage: Eukaryota; Metazoa; Chordata; Amphibia; Anura; Pelobatidae
Source: the annotation of a GenBank genome assembly